GUAUUUUACAAAAUGCUAGAUUUAUAAUGUAGCUACAUCGAUUCGUUCAAACACUGAUUCAAUCGGGAAUGAAACCAAUGAGGUGCUUUGCGAGUGAAUCACUGAAUCAUUGACUCAACCGAUUCGUUCACAUACACUGAUUCACCCGGGAACCAAACACCAGCGCACUGGCUUUGUUUGGAAUUAUUUUUCUUGGCGGAGCAAAUUUCCAAAAACUAACUGAAACAUUGUGUCAAACAUGUUUGUGGGUCACCACAAUUUCGAUGGUUUAUUCAAAUCAUACCAAGAGGUCAAGGUUUAGCUAGUUCGCCCCUGCUGGGAUGUGCCAUAACUACACCAUUGUGGAGCCAAAUCCACAAACAAAGCCUAACAACACGUCUGCAAUGAUCAUGGACCUCUGAUGUUGAUUAAUCUUUUCUCUUGACUUUGGAGCCUGACUGUUGCAAGAAGAAACCCCACCAGCCCCAAAGACAUAUUCCCUCAAUUUAACAGCAGACCAAGGUGUUUCUCCAGCAUCAUCGGAUCAAUGAAAACCCCAGGGACGAUGCUGAUUGCCAAAGAUUGGACAAGCUAACAAGCACAUGAUGAGGAACCAGUUGGUUCUUCUUGCUUUCUCUCAGUUUUCGGAGGUCUUUGGGACAGGCACACACAAAAGGGAAGCUGAUCCGUGGAUGUAUUCUGUCAUUCUUUUGGAGGCUGCUUUUUCUUCCUUGUUUUGACUUGGUUCAACUUGACAGGGUGCUUUUAAGGAUAUUGUGGGGUCUAAAAAUGAGUGGAAUACCAGGAAAUCAAUGAAAGGAUGUAUUCAUGGAUCGGAGCUGGUGGACUAAAUUUUAACUCCCUUUCAGUUCAAGUCACUGACUCAUUUAUCAGAGUCUUCCAUCAUAGAGGUGGCCUAUUGAGAUCGGCACACUUUGGUUUUUCCGUUACAUGUGGGUGAGUCUUAACGUUUUCUUUGGAUCCAUCUUAUCCCAUAUAUGAUUAGCGAUUGGUGAGAGACACAGAGAGGGAGGGACAAUUCAAACACCCAACUCACCCUGUAGUCUAAAAAAAGUAUGGUUCUAGUGGAAUUUUCCAACAUAAAACAAAUAAAUAAAUGCUAAAUUAAGCACUGCACUCGUAUGAAAAUUCUUGAAAAAAAUGAAUACUUAUGUUCAGGAAGGAAUAAUAGAAAUGAACCAAAAGAUGUCAAAUAAAUGUUGU
Cyprinus carpio (common carp) is the source of this 1203-nucleotide long non-coding RNA. RefSeq lists it as uncharacterized. The record is from RefSeq and is a predicted model, not a curated record. The transcript is spliced from 5 exons. Lineage: Eukaryota; Metazoa; Chordata; Actinopteri; Cypriniformes; Cyprinidae.